Molecule: long non-coding RNA, 1217 nt
Organism: Manis javanica (Malayan pangolin)
Lineage: Eukaryota; Metazoa; Chordata; Mammalia; Pholidota; Manidae
Source: RefSeq, a predicted model, not a curated record
GAUGUCAAGCCUUUAUCGGAUCUGUCAUUUAUGAAAAUAUUCUCCCAUACUGUACAACCUCAUGUGGUAGUUGUGUAGGUUUGACUUCUUAAUCCCUCCCAGGCUUAGCAGCCUGCAGUCAGGUGACCCAGAUGAACUAACCAAACUCAGGGGUUUCUGUGAUCAGCUGUUCCCUCCUGUGUGGUGACAGGCAGGGUGAGAUGUCAGCUGCGUGCCUGCUUGACAGCAGCAUGUUGGCAAGAAUUUGAUUGCAAGAGAAGAACCCGGGGUUGGCAGGGGAAUUCCUGUUACAUCAAAAUAUUGAGAAAAUGAUUGUUGAGAGCAGAAUACCUAGAGCUAUAGUGCCCCAAGAGCCAUCUGUACUCACUGGGACACUGUGUGUAUAACUAAAAACAAUGUGCACAGGAUGGUUGAAGCCACUCUUUUAGUCCUGUGCAUGUGCGCCAGUCAUGACUGUAGCCUGCAAGGAGAGUUCAGUCUCCUUGAUUCACUGGGAUGUAGCCAGUGUGCUGAGCAUCUGCUGCUCUGUCUCUCUUUCUCCUCUGCCCUCUCUUCCCAGCCCAAGGCAGUCACCCUUCACAAGUAGGACGGUUUGUUGCCCCUUGAUUUCAGGGACCACUCCCUACCGCUGCUGUCAGCACCAGCGGAGAAGUCAUGGCAUCUGCCCCCCCUUGGUUUGUUUCCGUCCUCUCUGUACCCCCUGACACAGUGUGGAGCAGGAGGAAGUCCUGCGGCCUCCCAGGAUCCCUGUGCUUUGACUCCUCUGACGUGCCAGGAAGGGUCUGACUGCUACCAGCCAUACAACGAGGGAAAAUUCCCACUUGCUGGACAUGAAGUUGACGGUGCUCUGAAUGGAGCCUAUGAAAGCUCCCAUUCUGAAGGGGAUGAGACUCCACCUGGUCUCCCAGAUGGAAGAAGCCUCAAUCUAUCAGACUCCUGCUGCCCUUAUGGGAGCACUGCCGUUUUCUCACCUGAAGAACUGGAAGCCUGUUUUCCUCUGGAUAUAACCAGCGAGUACUGUUAAUCAAGCAAAUCAAAUUGAUCCUGAAGAGUAGGAAGGCCAAGACCAGAUACACCUCAGGAGCUCAGCCAUCAGCUCAUUUGAGGAACUGGAAGUCUGUUCUGUUCUGCAUGCAGCCAGAAAUCAUACUAACCUGGAAGAGGAGGAGGAAGACCAAGACCACAUUUUUUCCAGGUAACCCUGAAGAAUUGUGGGU